GCAAUACUUAGUGGCAGACGGGUGAGUAACAUGUAGGUAUCUGCCCUUUGGCCUGGAAUAACACGAGGAAACUUGUGCUAAUACCGGAUAAGUCUUUACGGAGAAAGCUUUAUGCACCAUUGGAUGAGCCUGCACUUGAUUAGUUUGUUGGUGGGGUAAUGGCCUACCAAGACUGUGAUCAAUAGCUGAUUUGAGAGGAUGAUCAGCCACAUUGGGACUGAGACACGGCCCAAACUCCUACGGGAGGCAGCAGUGGGGAAUCUUGCACAAUGGAGGAAACUCUGAUGCAGCGAUGCCGCGUGAGUGAAGAAGGCCCUUGGGUUGUAAAGCUCUUUCGUCGGGGAAGAAAAUGACUGUACCCGAAUAAGAAGGUCCGGCUAACUUCGUGCCAGCAGCCGCGGUAAUACGAAGGGACCUAGCGUAGUUCGGAAUUACUGGGCUUAAAGAGUUCGUAGGUGGUUGAAAAAGUUAGUGGUGAAAUCCCAGAGCUUAACUCUGGAACUGCCAUUAAAACUUUUCAGCUAGAGUAUGAUAGAGGAAAGCAGAAUUUCUAGUGUAGAGGUGAAAUUCGUAGAUAUUAGAAAGAAUACCAAUUGCGAAGGCAGCUUUCUGGAUCAUUACUGACACUGAGGAACGAAAGCAUGGGUAGCGAAGAGGAUUAGAUACCCUCGUAGUCCAUGCCGUAAACGAUGUGUGUUAGACGUUGGAAAUUUAUUUUCAGUGUCGCAGCGAAAGCGAUAAACACACCGCCUGGGGAGUACGACCGCAAGGUUAAAACUCAAAUGAAUUGACGGGGACCCGCACAAGUAGUGGAGCAUGUGGUUUAAUUCGAAGAUACGCGCAGAACCUUACCAACACUUGACAUGUUCGUCGCGACUCUAAGAGAUUAGAGUUUUCGGUUCGGCCGGACGAAACACAGGUGCUGCAUGGCUGUCGUCAGCUCGUGUCGUGAGAUGUUGGGUUAAGUCCCGCAACGAGCGCAACCCUCACUUUUAGUUGCCAUCAUUAAGUUGGGCACUCUGAAAGAACUGCCAGUGAUAAGCUGGAGGAAGGUGGGGAUGACGUCAAGUCCUCAUGGCCCUUACGUGUUGGGCUACACACGUGCUACAAUGGUAUCUACAACAGGAAGCAAGACUGCGAAGUUAAGCAAAUCCCUAAAAGAUACCUCAGUUCGGAUUGCACUCUGCAACUCGAGUGCAUGAAGCUGGAAUUACUAGUAAUCGUGGAUCAGCGUGCCACGGUGAAUGCGUUCCCGGGUCUUGUACACACCGCCCGUCACACCAUGGGAGUUGGUUCUACCUUAAGGCAAGGUUUCAAACCCUUGACCACGGUAUAGUCAGCGACUGGGGUGAAGUCGUAACAAGGUAGCCGUAGGGGAACCUGCGGCUGGAUUACCUCCUU
RNAcentral lists this ribosomal RNA (1401 nucleotides) under uncultured alpha proteobacterium MB11F01. RNAcentral describes it as "bacterial SSU rRNA". It matches the Rfam family "Bacterial small subunit ribosomal RNA". The record is from RNAcentral. Lineage: Bacteria; Pseudomonadati; Pseudomonadota; Alphaproteobacteria; Candidatus Pelagibacterales.